AUUGAACGCUGGCGGCAUGCCUUACACAUGCAAGUCGAACGGUAACAGGUCUUCGGAUGCUGACGAGUGGCGAACGGGUGAGUAAUACAUCGGAACGUGCCUAGUAGCGGGGGAUAACUACUUGAAAGAGUGGCUAAUACCGCAUGAGAUCUACGGAUGAAAGCAGGGGAGCGCAAGACCUCGUGCUACUAGAGCGGCCGAUGGCAGAUUAGGUAGUUGGUGGGAUAAAAGCUUACCAAGCCGACGAUCUGUAGCUGGUCUGAGAGGACGAUCAGCCACACUGGGACUGAGACACGGCCCAGACUCCUACGGGAGGCAGCAGUGGGGAAUUUUGGACGAUGGGCGAAAGCCUGAUCCAGCAAUGCCGCGUGCAGGAUGAAGGCCUUCGGGUUGUAAACUGCUUUUGUACGGAACGAAAAGCCCCGGGUUAAUACCCCGGGGUCAUGACGGUACCGUAAGAAUAAGCACCGGCUAACUACGUGCCAGCCGCCGCCGUAA
Molecule: ribosomal RNA, 498 nt
Filed under: uncultured bacterium
Lineage: Bacteria
Description: partial 16S ribosomal RNA
Rfam family: Bacterial small subunit ribosomal RNA
Source: RNAcentral